CCUACUAUUUUACACACCCGCCGGUCGCUCCUCACUCUCUCGACCUCGUCCCCCGGCUACAGUUCAGAAGGGCGGCGGGCCUGGCAGCGGCGAGGCGAUUUCACUUCCGGCGUUGAUCUCGCCGGCUCCUCCUCGCGUCCGGCGACCGUUCCGGUGCCGGAGGUGGUGAGGAGCUGCGGGAUCCAUGGCCGUUGUAUAUACCCUUAGCUCUACUAGCUAGUUUAGGGUUUCAUUCAUUCGCUUCGUCGACGGCGGCGCGAAGCUCAGUAGUUCCAGGCGGCGUCCGCAGGGUGCAGGCGGCGUUGUGUCCUUGGAAUAAGCUUCUCCAAUCCUUCCUCCACCUCGCGCGUGCGCAGCGGUGAUGGGCUGGUGAUUUCCUACCUCAUCAGAUCUGGAGAUUCAUUUGAAGCUUUGGAUCUGGGCGAUGAGGGCUUUUGUCCCUCCCCUGGCUUCUUCGGGACUGCCAUCGGCAACGAUGCCCUCUCUGGCGAAGCUUUAGGGAGGUAUGCCUACCACUAUUCUGGGAUUCCGGGUGAUGGUUUGCAUGCAACUGUGUGGUGACUCCUUUUUCCUUUCGGUUGCUUCGUUGUCCGUCGAUUUGGGGGUGCCGGCAUUGCUUGCGGCAACAACUCCCAUGUCCUCCGGCGGGCGUCAUGACCAAUGGUCAUUUUCUUCGGCUUGUGCGUUCAACGGCUCUACGGGCGUUGGCUUCAAGUUGCAACCUCGGCGUGCAUCUUCUCCUACCUCUGGUGCGAUGGCUGCCUGUCGAGGGGCUCCUCCAUUCGCCGGUGACGAAGAUAACCGGGAGACCCUUGUAUGGACUAAUAUGUAAUUUUCUUUUUAUUCAAGGGUGUUUGUGUAAGAGUUGCAUUGUAAACCUUUACUCUUAUAUGUGAAAUACAAUCCCGGUAUUCUAAAAAA
Long non-coding RNA from Panicum virgatum (switchgrass), 921 nucleotides. RefSeq lists it as uncharacterized. The record is from RefSeq and is a predicted model, not a curated record. The transcript is spliced from 2 exons. Lineage: Eukaryota; Viridiplantae; Streptophyta; Magnoliopsida; Poales; Poaceae.